This 78-nucleotide transfer RNA is filed under the name Actinomycetes bacterium. RNAcentral's name for it is "Actinobacteria bacterium tRNA-Met". It matches the Rfam family "tRNA". Rfam says of the family: Transfer RNA (tRNA) molecules are approximately 80 nucleotides in length. RNAcentral also lists the same sequence under 1 other name. Lineage: Bacteria; Bacillati; Actinomycetota; Actinomycetes. The record is from RNAcentral.
GGCAGUGUAGCUCAGUCUGGUUAGAGCACACGGCUCAUACCCGUGUUGUCAUUGGUUCAAAUCCAAUCACUGCCACCA